Molecule: long non-coding RNA, 393 nt
Filed under: Capsicum annuum
Lineage: Eukaryota; Viridiplantae; Streptophyta; Magnoliopsida; Solanales; Solanaceae
Description: long non-coding RNA (CANN_LNC001512)
Source: RNAcentral
UUUUGGUCUUAAAAUAGGUUUGGAAUCCACUUUACAGAUUCAGAUUACAGAUUUAGCUUUAUAGAUAUACAGUAGGUUUUCAUUGUAAACCACUAUACUAUUUUAAAAGUGGAUUUCCAUCGGAAUGAGCAUACAUAUUUAAUUGGAGUAGUAUUUAGCACCGAGAUAGGUACGUUACUAUGGUUUCAUACCCUAGAACUACGGGCCAACAUAGGAUUUAGAUUGUUGCCACUUCUACGUGAGUGAUAGAUAGAUGAUCACUUAGAUAGGUUAUACUUUCUGGCAAAAGUAUGACUCUUCUCCCCAACAUGAGGAUUCCUCCUUAGGGAGACAAGAACGUUGGACUCCAUGAAUGCUCACAUGGUUUAUAUCGGUUAAAAGAACCUCCCAUGC